This is a long non-coding RNA of Cucurbita moschata (crookneck pumpkin), 3086 nucleotides long. RefSeq lists it as uncharacterized. The record is from RefSeq and is a predicted model, not a curated record. The transcript has 2 exons. NCBI's taxonomy places the organism in Eukaryota, Viridiplantae, Streptophyta, Magnoliopsida, Cucurbitales, Cucurbitaceae.
ACCUUGAGUUAUGGAAAUUUCUUGGUCCUGGUUCAUAUCACCUUGUCCGAUAGAAUACUAUAAACCUUCCAGUAAACAAGGGAGGACUCGUCCUAUAUUUGAUAAAGGAGAAGAACAAAGCUCUCCUCUCGUCAAACGAGCACAAAGGCGCCUCCUUGUGUAGAAAUCAUAUAAAGGCUAAAUAUGCUCCUACGUUAUGGACAAGCCACAAAGGAGUCACGGAAGUAUAUAAAAAAGCUCCAAAACCUUAUCACCAUCUGCAUUUGCCAAAGAUUGGGUGAUGGAGGAAACUCAUCUUGCUGGAUUAACCCUUAGAUUGACAACACCACACUAGCCUUGCGGUAUCCUCUUUUGCAUAGAUUCUCACAAUGCAAAAUGGCCACGACCAAAGAAACAUGAAAAGACGUUAACAAAGCUAAGAAAUGAAUCGAAUUAAGCCUUGACUUUACCUCAAUUGUAUUGUCUAAAAAAUCAGUCUCGUUGAAAUGGUACCUUGCAUUGACGGGGUCUUCCCCACAAAGUCUUUGACGAUGGAUAUGGAGGAAAAGGUAGAAGCAAUAAACCCCUCACUAGCAAAGGCAAUAUUUUUUUCUAUGGAGAAUGGUGCAUAAAGCCCAUUAGCACAACUAGAAACUUAUAGCAAAGAAUGUCGGACAUUAUUUCCUAAUUGGUGUCCAUUAUGCAAGAAAGAUAAUGAAUCACAAAACCAUUUAUUUAUGCAGAGUGUCACAACCAUACUAUGAAGAGAGUAGGUUGUGACCCUCAUAUAAAGGCAGAUAAGGUGGCAACACGGAAGUGGCGCCCAACUAGCCAAGCAAGGGCUGAGGUAGACAAGUAUCAUGAUGCAACUGAGGAGGACGGUGCAUCAUUUAACACAUCACUAAGAUGUGCAUGAAAACCCAAAAUGAGACAUAGGCAAGAAAGAGGUAACAGUGUUGACGUGAGUGUCAAAGAUAGGCUUGGUAAGGUCAGGUAGGGCCUUGGGCCUUAAUCUCAAAAGUCAGGGUUCUAGAGGACAUUCAGGAAUGUGGCUUUGGAGUUAAGCCCAUCCAUAUGAAGUAUGAAUGCUCACGAAAUUCGAUAUCAAUCAGACAUCGGAUGGACGUUUCACGACGUCGUUUGACUGUUCGCCAAAAUCACGUCUACUCCAGGAAGACUGAAAAUGACUCAAAACGUACCUUAGGGGGGCAUGAUGUUAGCUCUCCACCACCCCUGGGCCCUAUGGCCUAAGCGAGCUACCCUGUGGCACAUAUGUGUGUCACAGUGAGGGUGAGCGUUGCAAGAUGAGUGUCUCGGAUGACUUCCUUUGAAUGGGUCUUUCAAAGACAGUGUCAGACGACACGGAUGUGCCGAUAUGUGCCCCAGUCCAUGUGUUGGAGGUCGGAUCAUACACCUGCUAUCCUGUAUAGAGUCCGUAAAUGAUAUGACAUGGACACAAGAGGGUCCAAUACCUCGAUAGGCCCGGAUGGAUGGAUGUUCGAGAUGUCCUGAUGUUAUGAGAGACAAAUGGGUCCGUUCUUGAUGAGCAUGACCGAGCAAGCUAAGUUGGCUGAUGACUUUUCGGGACUUGGGAUGACAUCAUGACAUGAAGACCAUGUUAAUUGGAAACCCAGAUGAUGUUGGGACAUGACGUUGCUUACGAGAGACCUUGGUCCGGUUAAAGACAAGGUCGAGGCAGAGGACUUGGUCUAUUGUGGAGGCAAGUCAAAUUGAGUUGCAGAUGAUUGAAUAUGCACGCACGCAUAAACGACGUGUGUGGCCCCGCUGGAUGAGCUUGAUUACACACAAGUUGUGUUCGGUGGGUAAAGACAACCUCACCUAAGGCCCGAAAAAGCCACAAAGACGGACGACAAAUGAAUAUGGGGACUUGAGUUCCCCUCAAGGCUUGUCGUGAGCAUGUCAAGAUCACAACACCACGGCGUUGAAAAUGUACGACCGUGACAUGGUAUACACUUAUGACUUUUGGACAAAAAUUCUCAAUAUUUUUAGAUGGCGUCUCACUUUUUCUAAGUAUGCAAAAGAGUUAUUAGAUAUGACCUUAAUGAACUACACAUUUAAGAACGAAAAAGCCUUGUCAUGGACAAAUCUCAUUAGGGCUUCCCUUUUGGAGUCUAUGGAAAGAAUGAAAUCGAAGAGUAUUCACGGGGAAACACAGACAUAUACUAGGCUUUUUGAAAAUGUUGUUUACAACGUCAUUUCUUGGUGUAAACUUUUGCUUCCUAUAGUCAUACUUCCCUUGUUGUAUUGAGAAGGUACUUUGUAAGCAUCAUGGAUAACAUAUCCCUUUGGUAAAUUUCAAAUAUUAAUGAAUUUUUUUCCAUUGAGGAAUUAGUUUAUUGAAUCCAGAAAAUAUACUUAGCCGUCUGUGCACUUCUUAUUGUUGCCAAGGUGACCCCGAAGUUUUAUCUUAAGAGAAGCAAAAAAGUUAGUUGUAAUUGGUUUCGCAAUUUGGUCCCAUCACUUUGACUUUCCUUUACUGUACAAAAGCGCACACCCCACUUUAUAGUUCCAAGAAAUUUCCCAAGACAAGAUAUCAUAAAACGCAAAAUAACUAUAAGAAGGCUUCCCAACAAAAACUAAUACUAGAGGGUGUCUAAUUCUUAAAUUGUUCGGAAUAAUACUCCAAGAAGCUGUGCAAUAUUUAAUCAUCUCAAAGCUUUCUUUCCUCCUGGGUUGCUCGAAGAUUCUCUGUUUUCAAGUCUAAAGACCUCACAGAAAAUAGCUUUAACCAAUUGUUGAUUCCAGGAACUUUAGCUUUCGUUUGUAAUCUAUGCCUCAGAGACAUAAAAAUGUUGUUUUUAGCUAUUAAAUCAUAUACUUAAUAUGAGAAUCCAACUCGGGAAUGCUGUGAAUGUGAACUUAAACCAUGAUAGUUUCUACAUCUCAGGUGAUUGUGGAGUUCAUUGAGACUUGAGAGUUUGCAUCGACUACAUUUCUUUAGUUCUUACUUCAAAGUAUUUUGUACCAUUUUUGUGAGCCAUGUUAGACCCUGUUAGUCAUUAAUGAUAAGCAAUGAUCUUAAGAUGCAUUGGCUGAUGAGCUGUAUCAUGAAGCAUUGACGUUUUGGGAAAUAUAUGACAUUUUCU